Molecule: ribosomal RNA, 468 nt
Filed under: uncultured bacterium
Lineage: Bacteria
Description: partial 16S ribosomal RNA
Rfam family: Bacterial small subunit ribosomal RNA
Source: RNAcentral
GACGAACGCUGGCGGCGUGCUUAACACAUGCAAGUCGAACGGAAAGGCCCUGCUUUUGUGGGGUGCUCGAGUGGCGAACGGGUGAGUAACACGUGAGUAACCUGCCAUUGACUUUGGGAUAACUUCAGGAAACUGGGGCUAAUACCGGAUAGGAGCUCCUGCUGAAUGGUGGGGGUUGGAAAGUUUCGGCGGUUGGGGAUGGACUCGCGGCUUAUCAGCUUGUUGGUGGGGUAGUGGCUUACCAAGGCUUUGACGGGUAGCCGGCCUGGGAGGGUGACCGGCCACCUUAGGACUGAGAUACGACCCAGACUCCUAUGGGAGGCAACAGUGGGGAGUAUUGCACAAUGGGCGGAAGCCUGAUGCAGUGACGCCGCGUGCGGGAUGACGGCCUGCGGGUUGUAAUCCGCUUUCGCCUGUGACGAGGCGUGAGUGACGGUAAUGGGUAAAGAAGCACCGGCUAACUACGUG